GACGAACGCUGGCGGCGUGCUUAACACAUGCAAGUCGAACGGAAAGGCCCUGCUUUUGUGGGGUGCUCGAGUGGCGAACGGGUGAGUAACACGUGAGUAACCUGCCCUUGACUUUGGGAUAACUUCAGGAAACUGGGGCUAAUACCGGAUAGGAGCUCCUGCUGCAUGGUGGGGGUUGGAAAGUUUCGGCGGUUGGGGAUGGACUCGCGGCUUAUCAGCUUGUUGGUGGGGUAGUGGCUUACCAAGGCUUUGACGGGUAGCCGGCCUGAGAGGGUGACCGGCCACAUUGGGACUGAGAUACGGCCCAGACUCCUACGGGAGGCAGCAGUGGGGAAUAUUGCACAGUGGGCGGAAGCCUGAUGCAGCAACGCCGCGUGCGGGAUGACGGCCUUCGGGUUGUAGACCGCUUUCGCCUGUGACGAAGCGUGAGUGACGGUAAUGGGUAAAGAAGCACCGGCUAACUACGUG
This 468-nucleotide ribosomal RNA is filed under the name uncultured bacterium. RNAcentral's name for it is "partial 16S ribosomal RNA". It matches the Rfam family "Bacterial small subunit ribosomal RNA", at positions 28 to 507 of the family's 1533-position model. The record is from RNAcentral.